UGAAACACCAAUGCAUUUAAUCAAUAAUACAAAAUAAAUAAACAGACAAGCACCAUAAUAACGAAUUACACAAUUCCCGACCAAUAUUGAGGCGGCAGGUAGCCUCGACAACGGGGACCCUGGCUGUGACCCUCCUCGCUGCGAGUGUCUCAGGGGGAGUUCGUAUAUGCAAAACAACAACGAAAAAACAUUUAUAUUAUAGACUGUGUGUAACAGGACAAAUAUAAACAUUACAUGCAUUAUUAUGUCUUAUAAACUCUGCAAACAUUUAACAGUUUAUAAACGUGUUAUAAAUACAGCAACAAUUUGAGAACACGUGUGGCUUAGUUGGUAGCGUAUGGCACUUACAACGCCAGAGAUGUGGGUUCGAUUCCCACGGGGGACCAGUACAAAGAUAUAUGGACUUACUAGUGUAAAUCGCACCGGAUAAGAGCGUCUGCUAAAUGACUGAAAUGUAUAUGUUUAUGUUGAGUAAGUAAAGUGAUUUCUACUUGGACUACUAGGCGCAUGCGUUGUGAAGAAGCAGCCAGGAAGGGGUACUCCAGUUAGGCAUUCUAGGUCCAACAUCAGUACUGCGUACGAGGGAAGCUAGCGCCCGACUUCAAAUACAUGAUCCUUGGCUAAUCCUCCAGCCUCUUGGGAACGAAGAUAAUAACCUGUACCGGAAUUAGCUAGACACAGACACGAAAACAACGUUGUGGAGAUUUACAUAAGAACAGAUUCGCUGCUGUCGCUUUUCCGAUACAGGUUCCGUCCUCUCGGGUUCGUUGAGGAUGAGGUUCCCGACCAUCAGACGGUGUCCUGGGGAAGGAGAUGGGAAUAAGGAACUCGCUCCACCAUUUAGGAACCCCUUUGUGCAUGACUUGAGAUUCACCCCGCUCGAAAAGGCAAAGGUAAGUGAAAAUAUUACACCUGGUGCAACACGUCCACCUGUUUAGUUUUUACAUCGAUAAGAGGCAGGCAAGAUUUAUAUAACGGGUUGCUAGCCAGACAGCUAACUACCGAUCAAGGUAUGUAGCUAGCCUGACUGACUAGCAACUAGCUAGAAGGCUGGCUACAUGUUGCUCACUUGACUCUCAUACUCUAGCUACCAAGUCUGGACAACAAGCUGGACAAAUAACCAGCGCAUUACCUUGCACACACACCACGACACACAGGGCAGCUAGAAGACAACACUUCACAUGUCUUGGCGUGGUUAGGCAACUUAGCCGAUAAAACCAGCCAACAAUGUUAAGAAAUGAUCAUAUAUUACAAUUAUAAUACAAGAUGAUACGUCUUUUGCAAAAGAGUCAGAAGAUGCCCGAGCAUCAUCACUUGAGUUAGCUGUGUAUUCCUGCUCAAUCAGCAUCUGGUCUGGUGUGGCUUGUCCAUGUCAAGCAUUAUGUUCUGUUGAACGCCGGAGGAAAUCAAAUAGUUAUCUAACAAUGUAUAUUAGUAUGAAAUGGACCAGAGAAUACAUGUAUCCCUCUUGAUCCAAGCGAGCAGAGUUCAACAACCAGUUCAAUACAGUGAAUGUCAGUAGGCCAGCAGCUCUUCCAGCAGCUCUUCCAGCAGCUCUUCUAUUAAAAGAUGGGGCUUGACAGACACAGCAUAGACGGUGCUGGAUGAAGAUAAGGCAUAACACUGCUUGUCCAAUAGAAAUCCCCGGUCACUAUUGUAAGCGAUGUCAUGGCGACGUCGGUUAGCUAUGCGCAUGCGUAGAAACAGGUUAUACGGUUAGCUAUGCGCAUGCGUAGAAACAAGUUAUCGGGUUUACCGGUCGUCUCGCAGCGAACUGCGCAUGUGCAGCACGUCAAAAUCAAACACAUUCCUUCAACAUAAAGUUGUUGUUGACCGAAAAUGAAAAACGUGUCAGUUAGUCACUUUCACGAGAUUAGAGUAAUAAUAUGU
This 1890-nucleotide long non-coding RNA is filed under the name Salmo salar (Atlantic salmon). Its description in RNAcentral is "lncRNA (ENSSSAG00000084308.1)". The stretch from base 320 to 377 matches the Rfam family "tRNA", at positions 8 to 63 of the family's 71-position model. The record is from RNAcentral. Lineage: Eukaryota; Metazoa; Chordata; Actinopteri; Salmoniformes; Salmonidae.